This 66-nucleotide transfer RNA is filed under the name Ooencyrtus plautus. RNAcentral's name for it is "tRNA-Leu". Lineage: Eukaryota; Metazoa; Arthropoda; Insecta; Hymenoptera; Encyrtidae. The record is from RNAcentral.
UUUACUUUGGCAGAAUAGUGUAUUAAAUUUAGAAUUUAAAAAUAAGUUUUUAAAAUUUAAGUAAAA